This 62-nucleotide transfer RNA is filed under the name Qianguimon aflagellum. Its description in RNAcentral is "tRNA-Arg". Lineage: Eukaryota; Metazoa; Arthropoda; Malacostraca; Decapoda; Potamidae. The record is from RNAcentral.
AAUUAGAAAGCGAAUAUUUGCAUUUAGUUUCGACCUAAAAAUUUGGCUUUAGCCUCUAAUUU